This 267-nucleotide unclassified non-coding RNA is filed under the name Ascomycota sp. RNAcentral describes it as "partial contains small subunit ribosomal RNA, internal transcribed spacer 1, and 5.8S ribosomal RNA". The stretch from base 1 to 47 matches the Rfam family "Eukaryotic small subunit ribosomal RNA", at positions 1785 to 1831 of the family's 1831-position model. Lineage: Eukaryota; Fungi; Ascomycota. The record is from RNAcentral.
AAAGUCGUAACAAGGUUUCCGUAGGUGAACCUGCGGAAGGAUCAUUACAACUCAGUAGCUUGCUACUGUCGGGAGGCGCUGUAAGUCCGUAUAGUUUUAUUACUGAUGAGCGGCAGGCCCUCUGUCUGUACCCUUGUCUUUUGCGCACUCAUGUUUCCUCGGCGGGCUUGCCCGCCGAUUGGACAAAACUAUAACCUAUUUAAUUUUCAAUCAGCGUCUGAAUAAAUAUAAUAAUUACAACUUUCAACAACGGAUCUCUUGGUUCUG